RNAcentral lists this ribosomal RNA (501 nucleotides) under uncultured bacterium. Its description in RNAcentral is "partial 16S ribosomal RNA". It matches the Rfam family "Bacterial small subunit ribosomal RNA", at positions 29 to 523 of the family's 1533-position model. The record is from RNAcentral.
AUUGAACGCUGGCGGCAUGCCUUACACAUGCAAGUCGAACGGCAGCACGGGUGCUUGCACCUGGUGGCGAGUGGCGAACGGGUGAGUAAUAUAUCGGAACGUACCUUAUUGUGGGGGAUAACGCAGCGAAAGCUGUGCUAAUACCGCAUACGCCCUGAGGGGGAAAGCGGGGGAUCGCAAGACCUCGCGCGAUUAGAGCGGCCGAUGCCUGAUUAGCUAGUUGGUGGGGUAAAAGCCCACCAAGGCGACGAUCAGUAGCUGGUCUGAGAGGACAAUCAGCCACACUGGGACUGGGAAACGGCCCAGACUCCUACGGGAGGCAGCAGUGGGGAAUUUUGGACAAUGGGGGCAACCCUGAUCCAGCAAUGCCGCGUGAGUGAAGAAGGCCUUCGGGUUGUAAAGCUCUUUUGUCAGGGAAGAAACACCGGCUCUAACACAGUCCGGGAAUGACGGUACCUGAAAAAAAAGCACCGGCUAACUACGUGCCAGCCGCCGCAGUAA